GCCUACGGGGCGCAGCAGUGAGGAAUAUUGGUCAAUGGUCGGGAGACUGAACCAGCCAAGCCGCGUGAGGGAUGAAGGUACAGAGUAUCGUAAACCUCUUUUGUCAGGGAACAAAGGCGGGGACGUGUCCCCGGAUGAGUGUACCUGAAGAAAAAGCAUCGGCUAACUCCGUGCCAGCAGCCGCGGUAAUACGGAGGAUGCGAGCGUUAUCCGGAUUUAUUGGGUUUAAAGGGUGCGCAGGCGGUCUGUUCAGUCAGCGGUCAAAGCCCGGGGCUCAACCCCAGCCCGCCGUUGAAACUGGCAGG
RNAcentral lists this ribosomal RNA (305 nucleotides) under uncultured bacterium. RNAcentral's name for it is "bacterial SSU rRNA". It matches the Rfam family "Bacterial small subunit ribosomal RNA", at positions 337 to 640 of the family's 1533-position model. The record is from RNAcentral.